This 87-nucleotide transfer RNA is filed under the name bacterium. RNAcentral's name for it is "tRNA-Leu". It matches the Rfam family "tRNA". Rfam says of the family: Transfer RNA (tRNA) molecules are approximately 80 nucleotides in length. Their secondary structure includes four short double-helical elements and three loops (D, anti-codon, and T loops). The record is from RNAcentral.
GCCGGGGUGGUGAAAUUGGCAAACACGCUACGUUCAGGUCGUAGUGCUCGUAAGGGCUUGCGGGUUCAAAUCCCGCCCUCGGCACCA